Molecule: small RNA, 50 nt
Filed under: Arabidopsis thaliana (thale cress)
Lineage: Eukaryota; Viridiplantae; Streptophyta; Magnoliopsida; Brassicales; Brassicaceae
Description: ATSL151700
Source: RNAcentral
UAUGUUUCCACUUCGAAGUAGAACAACAAGUGAACGGUGUGUUUCUCAAU